CUGGCAACUCGGAAGGCUGAAGUCUUCGAUUUAUCCACAGCAUUGGGCAUGGCAGCUACCCUACGUUGCCCUGCCCUUGUGCCUCCUCCCUGACCUGGAACGAUCAUUGAAAGGAGUGUGAGACUUGCUCAUUCUCCAUGCCCAGUCAGUCAUUGACUGCU
RNAcentral lists this small RNA (161 nucleotides) under Chelonoidis abingdonii (Abingdon island giant tortoise). Its description in RNAcentral is "TUC338 (ENSCABG00000015190.1)". Lineage: Eukaryota; Metazoa; Chordata; Testudines; Testudinidae. The record is from RNAcentral.